UUUGUACUCUUUCCGUCUGAAAAAGCUUGUCCCAAGCUUGUUCCUCAAAUGGAUGUAUCUAGCACUAACUUGGUGCUAGAUACAUCCAUUUAAGGGACAAGCUUUUUUGGACAGAGGGAGUACAUG
Non-coding RNA from Triticum aestivum (bread wheat), 126 nucleotides. Lineage: Eukaryota; Viridiplantae; Streptophyta; Magnoliopsida; Poales; Poaceae. The record is from Rfam.